Molecule: long non-coding RNA, 891 nt
Organism: Gossypium arboreum
Lineage: Eukaryota; Viridiplantae; Streptophyta; Magnoliopsida; Malvales; Malvaceae
Exons: 2
Source: RefSeq, a predicted model, not a curated record
AAAUUAAAAAACGAAAAAGGAAGGAAAAGAUCAAAUUGACAAUCGCAAAGGAGCAGAGGGAUCAAAGUGGAAAAUAACCCAAUGAUCUGAAACGCGGGGACCCCCUGGAGUGGGUCGGGUCACGCACGGAUGGCCUGAUACGGCACCGUUUUAGCGCCGGUUUCCUUGUUGCAAAACGACGCUGUUUUUGCUUUGCUAUUUAAACCAGCUUUAAAAAAAUUUUAUCCUUCUUCCUUUUUCUUAAAAAAAAAAAACAGAAACACUCCUCUUUUCCCCCAUUUAUGCGAACCUUAAAGAAACCAAACCCUAGCCGCCAUGUAGCCACCGCAUACGGUGGUCGAUGGGGGUGGUCUUCUCGUUCUUUACCCCGUUUAGAUCCAUAUCCGAGGAUUUAAUGCUUUCCACCAUGAAGAGUCAAAAAGAAAGUCACCCCUUUUUGUUGGAUUCGAUUUUAACGGAGAAGAACUCCGAUGAUACCAACGAUUCAAGGCUCGGGUCGGGGAAAGUCAACGAAAGGGGGGCUUCCGUUUUGAUGCAACGAGACAGGGGGAGCCAACCCUCGAGCGGUGUUUGCGCUUAGGAAGCACGUGGCUGGUAGAAGGGAGGCACGACGCUAGGGCUGGCUAAGGUUUCUGUCUCUACUAAAACCGUUUGGGCCUAUCGGGCCAUCAGUAUUUUGGGUUUGUAACCGGGUAGCGGGCCUGUUUUGUUUGUAAACGAACUUUUAAUUAUUUUUAGAUUUUGGUUUUUUUAUUGAUUUAGGCUCGGUUUGUAAUUGGACUAUUGUUAUUAAGGCCGGGUCAAAUUUGGGCAUUUACAGCUUAGAUACCCCAAUAAGAUUCCCAAAUGUCAAUGCUGGUUAAGUAAAGACAAAUUGGGUCCAUAAUGAAA